GACGAACGCUGGCGGCGUGCCUAAUACAUGCAAGUCGAACGCUGAAGGAGGAGCUUGCUCUUCUGGAUGAGUUGCGAACGGGUGAGUAACGCGUAGGUAACCUGCCUGGUAGCGGGGGAUAACUAUUGGAAACGAUAGCUAAUACCGCAUAAGAGUAGAUGUUGCAUGACAUUUACUUAAAAGGUGCAAUUGCAUCACUACCAGAUGGACCUGCGUUGUAUUAGCUAGUUGGUGGGGUAACGGCUUACCAAGGCGACGAUACAUAGCCGACCUGAGAGGGUGGUCGGCCACACUGGGACCUAGGCACGGCCCAGGCUCCUUCGGGGAGCAGCAGGAGGGAAUCUUCGGCAAUUGACGGAAGUCUGACCGAGCAACGCCGCGUGGGGGAAGGAGGUUCUCGGAUCGGUAAGCUCUGUUGUAAGGGAAGGACGAGUGUGAGAGUUGAAAGUUCACGCUGUGACGGUAUCUAAACAGAAAGGGACGGCUAACUACGUG
RNAcentral lists this ribosomal RNA (495 nucleotides) under uncultured bacterium. Its description in RNAcentral is "partial 16S ribosomal RNA". It matches the Rfam family "Bacterial small subunit ribosomal RNA", at positions 28 to 507 of the family's 1533-position model. The record is from RNAcentral.